AACGAACGCUGGCGGCAUGCCUAACACAUGCAAGUCGAACGAGACCUUCGGGGCUAGUGGCGCACGGGUGCGUAACGCGUGGGAAUCUGCCCUUCGGUUGGGAAUAACUGAGAGAAAUUUCAGCUAAUACCGUAUAAUGUCUUCGGACCAAAGAUUUAUCGCCGUGGGAUGAGCCCGCGUAGGAUUAGGUAGUUGGUGGGGUAAUGGCCUACCAAGCCGACGAUCCUUAGCUGGUCUGAGAGGAUGAUCAGCCACACUGGGACUGAGACACGGCCCAGACUCCUACGGGAGGCAGCAGUGGGGAAUAUUGCACAAUGGGCGAAAGCCUGAUCCAGCAAUGCCGCGUGAGUGAUGAAGGCCUUAGGGUUGUAAAGCUCUUUUACCCGGGAUGAUAAUGACGGUACCGGGAGAAUAAGCUCCGGCUAACUCCGUG
This 433-nucleotide ribosomal RNA is filed under the name uncultured bacterium. Its description in RNAcentral is "partial 16S ribosomal RNA". It matches the Rfam family "Bacterial small subunit ribosomal RNA", at positions 29 to 507 of the family's 1533-position model. The record is from RNAcentral.